UGGGGAAUAUUGCACAAUGGGCGCAAGCCUGAUGCAGCCAUGCCGCGUGUGUGAAGAAGGCCUUCGGGUUGUAAAGCACUUUCAGCGGGGAGGAAGGCGGUGAGGUUAAUAACCUCAUCGAUUGACGUUACCCGCAGAAGAAGCACCGGCUAACUCCGUGCCAGCAGCCGCGGUAAUACGGAGGGUGCAAGCGUUAAUCGGAAUUACUGGGCGUAAAGCGCACGCAGGCGGUCUGUCAAGUCGGAUGUGAAAUCCCCGGGCUCAACCUGGGAACUGCAUUCGAAACUGGCAGGCUAGAGUCUUGUAGAGGGGGGUAGAAUUCCAGGUGUAGCGGUGAAAUGCGUAGAGAUCUGGAGGAAUACCGGUGGCGAAUGCGGCCCCCUGGACAAAGACUGACGCUCAGGUGCGAAAGCGUGGGGAGCAAACAGG
This 429-nucleotide ribosomal RNA is filed under the name Chloroflexota bacterium. RNAcentral describes it as "Chloroflexi bacterium partial 16S ribosomal RNA". It matches the Rfam family "Bacterial small subunit ribosomal RNA", at positions 355 to 776 of the family's 1533-position model. The record is from RNAcentral. Lineage: Bacteria; Bacillati; Chloroflexota.